GGGAAAAAGUGAGGCUGAAACUACACUGGAGAUUUCAGCCAUUGCUGGCCAGCCACUGAUGUUACUGCACCAGCAGAGGCUGCUUUAGAAAAGACAACUGCCAAAGGCAACAGAUUUCUGAGUGGCAGAUUGGCAGCAGGGGGUCAGUGUCCCCAGGCUGGGUGGCUUUGUGCCUGGAAGGGGAUCAUGCUGCCUGUUAACUGGGGACCUACAGACUGGCAGCUUCACCCUGUCAGUGCCCAGGACACAGGUGAAUGAGCACCAAGUGAAAUAACCCUGAAAGAUCUUAUGAAACAGUCUGUGGAAGAGAGGAUUUGCUUAAAUUUGUGAAGGUCAGGGAAAGCUUCUCUCUACAGGACACAAACCAAGCACUGGUUCUGCACAUGGAUCCAACUGAGAUGAUCAGAUGAUCCUUCCCCUGAGGAAGUGUGGAGAAGGUGUCACCUCCACAACGCUGUCCCCUACCUCCACUGACCUGCAUGGUAAAGUGGUCAUGGGGGCUUCAUUGACUUAAGGGAAUGGGAUCAGGGGAUUCUGCCGCUUUUUGCAGCACUGUCCCUUAUUCUGCUUCUGGAUCUGCUCCUGGCAGAAGGAGAGACAGCUUUAGUUCCAAUUAUAGUUAUACUAGGGUACCUCACCUUUGAUCCCCUCCAUGGCUGCUACUGAACAAGAGGAUCCACUGGGCAGUGUGAUUUGUGCUGAAAUUAUACUGCCAAGAAGGAGCUGCAGCUAUCUUUUGGAACCAGCUCCCGUCUGAGCAGAAAGGGGUUCCCUUUCCCACAGGACCCUGAUAUCUGUUGGACUGGAAAGGAGCAGAGUGUCCAUAAUCUGGCUCACCCUCUCCAACCUACUCCUCCCAGAGGUGGUAUAUCCAAGGAAAGUCCAUGAGAGGAGCCUCCUAGGAGGUUUCCAUUCUUGGUACAUGCAACUGAGGAAGGAGUGCUUCAUGCUUUUGAGAACAAUUCAAUCUGGAUAAUAAGAACGUAUUGAGAGGGGUAAAGGAUUCAUCAAGGAAAGAAAAGAAGCAGAAAUGAAGUAGAGGUGGGUGGACAAGCAACAAUGGCAAGGUGUAUGUGAAACCGAUUUUAAAACUGUUCCUAAAUUACAUCAUAAUGGACGCUGCAGCACAUCCAGCUUCUGGAAACAUACCAAGUUGUCCAAAAAGAAACCAAGCAGGGGAAACCAUAAUGGCACGUGCUUUCUCCUCUUCAUUUGUUCUAGGAGAGAGAACCAGUCUGGAGCAGUUUUGUUACACAAUCAUCUGAUGCAAUUUGUAAGUAUGAAGGACAAAAACCACAUUGUCUAAAAUGAACCUGGGAACACUAAGGUCUCUUCUCCACUGAGUAUACACAUUAAUUCCAAAGAGUGCUAGGAGGAGUUAUCCAUACACAAAAAAGAAGAGAAAAAAACUAGACACCUAGACAUUCCAUUUCAGUCAUUGGAUUCCACUAGCAAUGAGAUAGCAGCUUUCAAUUUCAUAUUAUCAGUGUUACGGAACUGAA
Molecule: long non-coding RNA, 1502 nt
Organism: Mauremys reevesii (Reeves's turtle)
Lineage: Eukaryota; Metazoa; Chordata; Testudines; Geoemydidae
Exons: 3
Source: RefSeq, a predicted model, not a curated record